This 376-nucleotide ribosomal RNA is filed under the name uncultured bacterium. RNAcentral describes it as "bacterial SSU rRNA". It matches the Rfam family "Bacterial small subunit ribosomal RNA", at positions 518 to 898 of the family's 1533-position model. The record is from RNAcentral.
CGGUAAUACGGAGGAUCCAAGCGUUAUCCGGAAUCAUUGGGUUUAAAGGGUCCGUAGGCGGUCAAGUAAGUCAGUGGUGAAAGCCCAUCGCUCAACGGUGGAACGGCCAUUGAUACUGCUUGACUUGAAUUAUUAGGAAGUAACUAGAAUAUGUAGUGUAGCGGUGAAAUGCUUAGAGAUUACAUGGAAUACCAAUUGCGAAGGCAGGUUACUACUAAUUGAUUGACGCUGAUGGACGAAAGCGUGGGUAGCGAACAGGAUUAGAUACCCUGGUAGUCCACGCCGUAAACGAUGGAUACUAGCUGUUGGGAGCAAUCUCAGUGGCUAAGCGAAAGUGAUAAGUAUCCCACCUGGGGAGUACGUUCGCAAGAAUGAA